UACAGAGGGUGCAAACGUUGCUCGGAAUUAUUGGGCGUAAAGCGCACGUAGGCGGCAUCGUAAGUCUGAUGUGAAAGCCCUGGGUUCAACCCAGGAAGUGCAUUGGAUACUGCGAAGCUUGAAUCUGGAAGAGGGUCGCGGAAUUCCCGGUGUAGAGGUGAAAUUCGUAGAUAUCGGGAGGAACACCAGUGGCGAAGGCGGCGACCUGGGCCAAGAUUGACGCUGAGGUGCGAAAGCGUGGGGAGCGAACAGG
This 253-nucleotide ribosomal RNA is filed under the name uncultured bacterium. RNAcentral's name for it is "partial 16S ribosomal RNA". It matches the Rfam family "Bacterial small subunit ribosomal RNA", at positions 524 to 776 of the family's 1533-position model. The record is from RNAcentral.